AUUCAAUGGGCUUCGAGGUGAAUUGGGCCCAAUUCAUAGCCCAGCGUAAGCUUGGCCGUUUAAAGAACGAUCCGACAUUAAUACAGAAACGGAAGGAUCACGACUUAAACAGCGCAUUAAAGUCCCGAGUUGAAGAUUCGUAACGAACGACAUUAAUAACGCGAGAUCCGCGGCGUGAAGUCAGCGAGUAAUUUAAUACGUUUGAUCCGAUGUAUUGAGUAUAAAUACGAGUCGAUGACAUUUGUAAAGGGGACGAAAAAGAAUACACUA
RNAcentral lists this small RNA (270 nucleotides) under Arabidopsis thaliana (thale cress). Its description in RNAcentral is "ATSL218040". Lineage: Eukaryota; Viridiplantae; Streptophyta; Magnoliopsida; Brassicales; Brassicaceae. The record is from RNAcentral.